RNAcentral lists this ribosomal RNA (253 nucleotides) under uncultured bacterium. RNAcentral describes it as "partial 16S ribosomal RNA". It matches the Rfam family "Bacterial small subunit ribosomal RNA", at positions 524 to 776 of the family's 1533-position model. The record is from RNAcentral.
UACGUAGGGUGCAAGCGUUAAUCGGAAUUACUGGGCGUAAAGCGUGCGCAGGCGGUUGUGCAAGACAGAUGUGAAAUCCCCGGGCUUAACCUGGGAAUUGCAUUUGUGACUGCACGGCUAGAGUGUGUCAGAGGGGGGUAGAAUUCCACGUGUAGCAGUGAAAUGCGUAGAUAUGCGGAGGAAUACCGAUGGCGAAGGCAGCCCCCUGGGAUAACACUGACGCUCAUGCACGAAAGCGUGGGGAGCAAACAGG